RNAcentral lists this unclassified non-coding RNA (248 nucleotides) under uncultured fungus. RNAcentral's name for it is "sequence contains 5.8S rRNA gene". The stretch from base 1 to 53 matches the Rfam family "5.8S ribosomal RNA", at positions 102 to 154 of the family's 154-position model. The record is from RNAcentral. Lineage: Eukaryota; Fungi.
GAACGCACAUUGCGCCCGCUAGUAUUCUGGCGGGCAUGCCUGUUCGAGCGUCAUUUCAACCAUCAAGCCCCCGGCUUGCGUUGGAGCCCUGCGGCUGCCGCAGGCCCCGAAAACCAGUGGCGGGCUCGCUGUCACCCCGAGCGUAGUAGUUUACACCUCGCCCAGGGCGCGACGCGGGUUUCCCGGCCGUUAAACACCCCCCAUCUAAAGGUUGACCUCGGAUCAGGUAGGAAGACCCGCGGAACUUA